AUUGAACGCUGGCGGCAGGCCUAACACAUGCAAGUCGAACGGUAACAGGAAGAAGCUUGCUUCUUUGCUGACGAGUGGCGGACGGGUGAGUAAUGUCUGGGAAACUGCCUGAUGGAGGGGGAUAACUACUGGAAACGGUAGCUAAUACCGCAUAACGUCGCAAGACCAAAAAGGGGGACCUUCGGGCCUCCUGCCAUCGGAUGUGCCCAGAUGGGAUUAGCUAGUAGGUGGGGUAACGGCUCACCUAGGCGACGAUCCCUAGCUGGUCUGAGAGGAUGACCAGCCACACUGGAACUGAGACACGGUCCAGACUCCUACGGGAGGCAGCAGUGGGGAAUAUUGCACAAUGGGCGCAAGCCUGAUGCAGCCAUGCCGCGUGUAUGAAGAAGGCCUUCGGGUUGUAAAGUACUUUCAGCGGGGAGGAAGGGAGUAAAGUUAAUACCUUUGCUCAUGGACGUUACCCGCAGAAGAAGCACCGGCUAACUCCGG
RNAcentral lists this ribosomal RNA (489 nucleotides) under uncultured bacterium. RNAcentral describes it as "partial 16S ribosomal RNA". It matches the Rfam family "Bacterial small subunit ribosomal RNA", at positions 30 to 506 of the family's 1533-position model. The record is from RNAcentral.